Molecule: unclassified non-coding RNA, 244 nt
Filed under: uncultured fungus
Lineage: Eukaryota; Fungi
Description: partial contains 18S rRNA, ITS1 and 5.8S rRNA
Source: RNAcentral
UGGUGAACCAGCGGAGGGAUCAUUACAGAGUUAUCUAACUCCCAAACCCAUGUGAACUUACCAUUUGUUGCCUCGGCAGAGCCUACCUGGUACCUAUUUCGGAGCAGCUACCCUGUAGCUACCCUGUAACGGGCUACCCUGUAACGUCCUGCCGGUGGACCUUUAAACUCUUGUUAUUUUAUAGUAAUCUGAGCGUCUUAUUUUAAUAAGUCAAAACUUUCAACAACGGAUCUCUUGGUUCUGG